UACGAAGGGGGCUAGCGUUGCUCGGAAUUACUGGGCGUAAAGGGCGCGUAGGCGGUUUGUACAGUCAGGCGUGAAAGCCCCGGGCUCAACCUGGGAACCGCGCUUGAGACUGGAGAACUAGAGUUCGGGAGAGGAUGGUGGAAUUCCCAGUGUAGAGGUGAAAUUCGUAGAUAUUGGGAAGAACACCGAUGGCGAAGGCAGCCAUCUGGACCGACACUGACGCUGAGGCGCGAAAGCGUGGGGAGCAAACAGG
RNAcentral lists this ribosomal RNA (253 nucleotides) under uncultured bacterium. RNAcentral's name for it is "partial 16S ribosomal RNA". It matches the Rfam family "Bacterial small subunit ribosomal RNA", at positions 524 to 776 of the family's 1533-position model. The record is from RNAcentral.